GAUGAACGCUGGCGGCGUGCCUAAUACAUGCAAGUCGAGCGAACAGACGAGGAGCUUGCUCCUCUGACGUUAGCGGCGGACGGGUGAGUAACACGUGGAUAACCUACCUAUAAGACUGGGAUAACUUCGGGAAACCGGAGCUAAUAACGGAUAAUAUAUUGAACCGCAUGGUUCAAUAGUGAAAGACGGUUUUGCUGUCACUUAUAGAUGGAUCCGCGCCGCAUUAGCUAGUUGGUAAGGUAACGGCUUACCAAGGCAACGAUGCGUAGCCGACCUGAGAGGGUGAUCGGCCACACUGGAACGGAGACGCGGUCCAGACUCCUACGGGAGGCAGCAGUAGGGAAUCUUCCGCAAUGGGCGAAAGCCUGACGGAGCAACGCCGCGUGAGUGAUGAAGGUCUUCGGAUCGUAAAACUCUGUUAUUAGGGAAGAACAAAUGUGUAAGUAACUAUGCACGUCUUGACGGUACCUAAUCAGAAAGCCACGGCUAACUACGUG
Molecule: ribosomal RNA, 497 nt
Filed under: uncultured bacterium
Lineage: Bacteria
Description: partial 16S ribosomal RNA
Rfam family: Bacterial small subunit ribosomal RNA
Source: RNAcentral